AAGCGACAUCAGCCAAGCGAGAUUACCCGCUGAACUUAA
Molecule: ribosomal RNA, 39 nt
Filed under: Heterostelium pallidum
Lineage: Eukaryota; Evosea; Eumycetozoa; Acytosteliales; Acytosteliaceae
Also listed under: 1 other name
Description: partial 28S ribosomal RNA
Source: RNAcentral